GUACCAGACUCCUACGGGAGGCAGCAGUGGGGGAUAUUGCACAAUGGGGGGAACCCUGAUGCAGCGACGCCGCGUGGGUGAAGGAGCGUUUCGGCGCGUAAAGCCCUAUCGGCAGGGAAGAAGGAGGACGGUACCUGACUAAGAAGCCCCGGCUAACUACGUGCCAGCAGCCGCGGUAAUACGUAGGGGGCAAGCGUUAUCCGGAUUUACUGGGUGUAAAGGGAGCGUAGACGGCAUGGCAAGUCAGAUGUGAAAGCCCGGGGCUCAACCCCGGGACUGCAUUUGAAACUGUCAGGCUGGAGUGCAGGAGAGGUAAGUGGAAUUCCUAGUGUAGCGGUGAAAUGCGUAGAUAUCAGGAGGAACACCGGUGGCGAAGGCGGCCUGCUGGACUGCGACUGACGUUGAGGCCCGAAAGCGUGGGGAGCAAACAGGAUUAGAUACCCGUGUACA
RNAcentral lists this ribosomal RNA (450 nucleotides) under uncultured bacterium. Its description in RNAcentral is "partial 16S ribosomal RNA". It matches the Rfam family "Bacterial small subunit ribosomal RNA", at positions 328 to 794 of the family's 1533-position model. The record is from RNAcentral.